RNAcentral lists this long non-coding RNA (1579 nucleotides) under Calidris pygmaea (Spoon-billed sandpiper). Its description in RNAcentral is "lncRNA (ENSCPGG00000009361.1)". Lineage: Eukaryota; Metazoa; Chordata; Aves; Charadriiformes; Scolopacidae. The record is from RNAcentral.
CUGGAGAGCACCAGCUCCAGAGAGCACCAGAUGAUCCUCUAAUGCCCAACUCACCCCCUCGGGUGGGAUUCGGGACUGAGCUGAUUUAUGGCAUAGCACAGCAGGCUCUGCAGAGCGGGUUUAUUCAAAUAACAUCAAACUCUAUUCCACUUCUAGUUUAAUUAAAACACAAUUAGCGGGGGCUGGCAGUUUUCUUACAUGUGCCCGGUCUUCUAUGAAAUUAAUAUUAAUCUCCGUGCAGUGUGCGAGCCCGUAAAGUGACACGUGGAAAGUUACACAUUCUUGACUUGGGAAAGGCAAACUGGAGGAUGACUUCAUGUUCCUGAGUGAGGAGAUCGGCACGCCAGAUGCACCGAGUGCCUGACCCCUUUUAAAGGCUCUGCAAGGUCACACGUAACUUUAAAAAUGUCAUUUCAGGCGUGCAGAGGGAAGAAAGAGAGCCCAAAAAGCUUUACGGUACUCAGUUUCCCGUUUCGUUUGGUUUGGGCAGUGUGAAUGGCUCAGUAACACGAACCAGAGCUCUGGUCUCUGUUCUGGCUGCGUGUUUCCAAUAGACACCCUAAUGCCUUUCUCAUGGCUGGAAUGGUUAACAAUCUGUAUUUUCUUGCUAUUAAUUAGAAGCUGUGUUUUCGUUUUCGGAUGAAGAGCGAGCCUCGCAGUGUAGCUGACAAGUUUGCAGUCCUUGCUCUGAGUCAGGCAUUGAAUUUUACUCAAUUGUUUUAUCUGGAGACAAAAGCAACAAACACCCCUUGCAGCAGAGUCACCCAGAGCUACCAGGUCAUAUGAGGAACAUCUCUGUUGAGCAUCUCCAGUGUCGACGACAACUUUUGCUCAGCACCUUCUGGACAUGGAAGUGAAGAGCUGUUUUGGACAGGAGCUGGUUCAAGCCUGUGGAUUCUGGGGUGUUUCUUCAUCCAUCUCUUUCCACCAUCAGUGCAGGAGGUACCCUCUUUACAAACGCUGGUUUUCCCAAAUCCUGGCAAGGAUUUAGUAAGGAUCAGGAAUGAGGCUAAUAAGGCUUACUGAGCCUCAGAUGUGUUUUGCACAUAAAACAUUACACCACUGAACGGGGAGGGUAUUAAUGCUACCGCUGAGAUGAUAUACUAAAUUAUUGGUUGGUCAACAUCAUUUUAUUUACCACAAACUGGGGGCAGACAUUGCAGUGUUGGGAAAUUCAGGACCCCAGAAAAACUACAUGGUGGGAUAGUGUCAUGGGAUAUGUGAAAUGUUUUCUUUCUGGGAAAGAGAGGCUGAGCUGCUGGUACGAUAGCUGAGCCUUUACUCAAUCCUGGCACCUGUAUUGCGGGUAGGAUUAACGUUCUGCUUCCUAACAGCAGAAAAUCAGGUCCAUACGUUUCUAUUUGGACAGUACAAUUAACAAAAAGAAUAACUCCAUUAGCAGGUUGUUCCGGAAACCAGGCGCUGGGCUGCAUUAACGGCACAUGGAUUACCUUCGUGUGGAAAUCAACACGUGCCAACAGGAGCGGUCGCCUUUCCAGGCUCAAACCCAGACCUUGAACGGGGAGCUCUGGGCUGCGCAGGGCGCUGCUAUCUAUCGACGCGGGUCCGUUAUCUAGGA